CCUACGGGUGGCAGCAGUCGAGAAUCAUUCACAAUGGGGGAAACCCUGAUGGUGCGACGCCGCGUGGGGGAAUGAAGGUCUUCGGAUUAUAAACCCCUGUCAUGUGGGAGCAAAUUAAAAAGAUAGUACCACAAGAGGAAGAGACGGCUAACUCUGUGCCAGCAGCCGCGGUAAUACAGAGGUCUCAAGCGUUGUUCGGAAUCACUGGGCGUAAGGCGUGCGUAGGCUGUUUCGUAAGUCGUGUGUGAAAGGCGCGGGCUCAACCCGCGGACGGCACAUGAUACUGCGAGACUAGAGUAAUGGAGGGGGAACCGGAAUUCUCGGUGUAGCAGUGAAAUGCGUAGAUAUCGAGAGGAACACUCGUGGCGAAGGCGGGUUCCUGGACAUUAACUGACGCUGAGGCACGAAGGCCAGGGGAGCGAAAGGGAUUAGAUACCCUAGUAGUC
RNAcentral lists this ribosomal RNA (446 nucleotides) under uncultured bacterium. Its description in RNAcentral is "partial 16S ribosomal RNA". It matches the Rfam family "Bacterial small subunit ribosomal RNA", at positions 338 to 795 of the family's 1533-position model. The record is from RNAcentral.